Molecule: ribosomal RNA, 408 nt
Filed under: uncultured bacterium
Lineage: Bacteria
Description: bacterial SSU rRNA
Rfam family: Bacterial small subunit ribosomal RNA
Source: RNAcentral
AUUAGGAAUCUUGCACAAUGGGGGAAACCCUGAUGCAGCGACGCCGCGUGGAGGACGAAGGCAUUCGUGUCGUAAACUCCUUUUGACAGGGAAGAAGAAUGUGACGGUACCUGUCGAAUAAGCCCCGGCUAACUACGUGCCAGCAGCCGCGGUAAUACGUAGGGGGCGAGCGUUGUCCGAAGUUACUGGGCGUAAAGCGCGCGUAGGCGGCUUUUUAAGUCUGGGGUGAAAGGUUCUGCGCUUAACGUGAACAGUGCCCUGGAGACUGGAAGGCUUGAGUGUGGGAGGGGGCAGUGGAAUUCCUGGUGUAGCGGUGAAAUGCGUAGAUAUCAGGAGGAACACCGAUGGCGAAGGCAGUUGCCUGGCCUAACACUGACGCUGAGGUGCGAAAGCGUGGGGAGCGAACGG